UGUCUCUGGCGAUGAAGUUGGAGGCGAACACCAUGACGGUAGCACUGUUGAAUGAUCCGAGCUGUUUGCCGUCAGGGCCAACGUCACUCGCAAUGUUGUUCCAGGAGAUUGAGGUUGUGGCUGCGCCUGCUCCUUGGAACGAACAGCGUCCACAGCAGCUUGCACACUCAAGAAAUCGCCUAAUCCGUUAGCAUCCACUACGAUUUGGCGCAAUGUCAUGGAACUCCCAGAUGAAGGUAUAUCAGUGGCGGGAUUUUCUUGCAACAGAUUCCGUUUGAAGGAAACGGCAUGAAGCAGAAGGGAGAGUUGGAAGACGCUCGUUGGGCUUUCAACGGCAGGCAGGGAGUGCCAUCAAUCAAAAGGACCGUUUGUCAGUUACGCAGCGUCCUUUCCCCAGCGCUGUUCACAGAUUCGUCCACAUACAACCAUCACCAGCACACACUUGUCCUGCUCUGAAGCUAACGUAGAGUUUGACAAUCCAUCCCUGCAGCUCAACGUGUGGUUGUUUAGAAUCGUUAGCCUCGUUUUACAGCCACUGCGGUGGUGAUUUUCCACUCGUAUGAUAACGAUUCAUUGAGGAGGAGGAGGAGAUCCUGAUUGGAUCAGCAAUUGACUUGAAUCCUCAAACAGACCAAUCUUGUGGUUCGUCCUCUUGGUUUAGAUUGAGGUCCGCCACAGAAUACCCGCCUUCACACAAAAUGCCGAGUGUAGGGAUAACAAUGAGCAUUGGGUAGUAAUUGCUGUCUGCAAGAGUGACUAUGAAGACGAAGGAUAAACCUCCUUCCAGAAGAAGAGAAAGAAGAUAGUCGACCAAAGUGGUGUGGAGUAAAACCUCGUACGCUGUUGAAAUGUGUUCCAGGGUGGCUUUCGAGGUCCACUGUAGUUUUCAUAUGACAGCAACGUUGGAAUUUAGAAGUCCGGGAGCGAGGCGAAAGUGUUACUGCAGGUUAUUAUGUUGAUGAUGGUAGUUGGGUGCAAUCGGAAUCGGAGCGUAAGAGGAGUUUGAUAAACGAUUUGAUGGCAGUUUCCAGCUGCUUGAGUUGCCAUUGGCGUUUCAGACAGGAAGGGGGAUGGUUUGUUCAAUGGUACAGAAAAAUUGAGCUGCGGGUGGAGAGGAGAUCAGGAUGUUCGAGGGACAAAGUGUUCGUGGAAUUAGGGUUAGGGCUCCACGGAUGUACUUGUCAGGCAGCUGAGAACUACGAACCUGGAUACAAGCGGAGUGCUCUCAUUGAGGCGGAUUUCGAGAAACAGGGAGAGUAAAGCUAUAUUGCUGAAGCUUGUGACGAUGAGAGACAUGCGUGGAAUGCCUGGCAAGCGCCGAAGAAUGUGGUUCUUGUUCUGCUAUGUUUCAUUGUAAGAGGUGUGGCGAGUCGUGCGGGGGGCACGGUCGGUGGGCUGGACUAGUAGUGCGAUGUGUGCGUGCGGUGCAUCGGGGGUGGUGGAUUAGGAAGUCGUCCGCAUCCAUUAUAGACUAGAUGGUUAGGAGAGUUAAGAAGAGCGAGAGCAAAGGAGCUGCGGAGGUAGAGUGGGAGCGAUGGCGGCGACACAAUUGCGAAUAGGUUUGGUUUAGCAGCGCUCUAAUCUUUGCUUAAUGUAGUAUUAGCAACUGGUUACGAAUAUCUAGUUUACAGAACUAGGGCUUGAGUACACCCUUGCCUCAUACAACCAAAGUGCAAUGACCAUUUUUGCAUGAACAUGAGGCACUAAAGUCAAUAACCAAGGGUGUUGCUCCUCCAAUGGCGAAGCAGCGCCUCCAUAUUAGGUCACACCUCAUCGACCCGGAAAAAGCAAGAGCACCUUUUUCUGGGUCACUCCUCAUCUAAAGAUUAUGGUAUCUAGGCACAACAAAGUAUUGUUUAUCCAGGAAGAGUCCUUCUAUGCAUGUUAGAUUGCAAGCCUUAGGAUUAAGAUAAUUAUCAAUGACAUUUUCAAGGUGCCAGACAUGAUUGAUCUUCUAGGUCCAAUCCAAAUACUAUACUUAACUACAAAGUUAUUGCCCCUA
This is a non-coding RNA of Physcomitrium patens, 2002 nucleotides long. Lineage: Eukaryota; Viridiplantae; Streptophyta; Bryopsida; Funariales; Funariaceae. The record is from RefSeq and is a predicted model, not a curated record.